AUGCCCUAGAGGGAAGGACCCCUUUGGGAACUUCUCAAGAGUGGGACCUGGGCCAAUAGCUUGACCAGCAUCUUGCUGGCAAUUCCAGGGCCCCGCUGGGCUUC
Molecule: long non-coding RNA, 104 nt
Organism: Loxodonta africana (African savanna elephant)
Lineage: Eukaryota; Metazoa; Chordata; Mammalia; Proboscidea; Elephantidae
Rfam family: Maternally expressed 3 conserved region 2
About the family: MEG3 (maternally expressed 3) is a maternally expressed, imprinted noncoding RNA gene.
Source: Rfam